This 383-nucleotide ribosomal RNA is filed under the name uncultured eukaryote. RNAcentral's name for it is "partial 18S ribosomal RNA". It matches the Rfam family "Eukaryotic small subunit ribosomal RNA", at positions 592 to 976 of the family's 1831-position model. The record is from RNAcentral.
CAAUAGCGUAUAUUAAAGUUGUUGCAGUUAAAAAGCUCGUAGUUGGAUUUCUGGUAGGAGUGACCGUUCCGAACUUGAUUGUUCGUGUAUUGUGUUUUCUCCAGCCAUCCUUGUGGAGAACUUUUCUUGCAUUAAUUUGUAGGGAUUGGGACCCGCAUCGUUUACUGUGAAAAAAUUAGAGUGUUUAAAGCAGGCGAUCGCUUGAAUACAUUAGCAUGGAAUAAUAAGAUAGGACUUUGGUACUAUUUUGUUGGUUUGCAUACCAAAUUAAUGAUCAACAGGAACAGUUUGAGGAUAUUCGUAUGAACAUGUCAGAGGUGAAAUUCUUGGAUUUUGAUCAGACGAACUACUGCGAAAGCAUUUAUCAAGGAUGUUUUCAUUAA